UACGGAGGAUGCAAGCGUUAUCCGGAAUUAUUGGGCGUAAAGCGUCUGUAGGUGGAUGUUCAAGUCUGCUGUCAAAGACCGGGGCUUAACCCUGGAAAGGCAGUGGAAACUGAAUGGCUAGAGUACGGUAGGGGUAGAGGGAAUUCCCGGUGUAGCGGUGAAAUGCGUAGAGAUCGGGAAGAACACCAGUGGCGAAAGCGCUCUGCUAGGCCUGUACUGACACUGAGGGACGAAAGCUAGGGGAGCGAAUGGG
Molecule: ribosomal RNA, 253 nt
Filed under: uncultured bacterium
Lineage: Bacteria
Description: partial 16S ribosomal RNA
Rfam family: Bacterial small subunit ribosomal RNA
Source: RNAcentral